This 886-nucleotide unclassified non-coding RNA is filed under the name Hevea brasiliensis (rubber tree). Lineage: Eukaryota; Viridiplantae; Streptophyta; Magnoliopsida; Malpighiales; Euphorbiaceae. The record is from RNAcentral.
GAUCGUCUUGCAAGUCCCGUUACCGUCUUGCGAAACGAUUAUAUCGGCCUGUAUGGCCGACACCGGCAAGCUUAACAGUUUCCUUUCUUUCCUCCCCAACCAACUCGGGAGAUCAUCGGCAUUUUCUUCAGAUAUCUCGGCAUCCAUCAGUCUCCGCCGGUUCUGUAUCGGAAUGCCCGAGAAAUCGUCGCCGUCGGUAGCAGAAAAAAUUGCCAAGCAGUUGCUUACUAACUCUGACAAGUCCUUCAACUUAUCGGACAUCUGAUCCUUCACAGGUCCAUUCAAGCUCGCCAAUCCCUCCGUACACGUGUCCUGAUUAGUCAGCGCAGCGCUUAGCCAAGUGACCACGUCUUCAGUGGAUCCGCCGGGCUUUAUCUGUCCGGCGGGGUUCCCCUCCAACGACGGCGCAACGGUGGAGAGCGAGCGUGAAAGCGCGUCCACAGAGUCAUCAAGCAGCUCGAGGCAGUCCUCGUACGCCGAUUGUACACGCGUAUCCAUCUGGAGAUAAGAGAUCUCCGACGAAAGGUAUAAAGCUUUAGUAAAGUGCUGCAGAGUCAUGUUGAAGGAAAUGUGGACGAGGUCCUCCUCGGAGGCAGCAGUAGAACCAGGAAAAUCAAGCAACGAGUUAACACAGAGAGCCGGGAACCGAGUCUUGCUGCAUGUUUUAGAAAUAGCCUUGGUGGGCUUCGGGAUUACAACUGGGCUUGGUUGGCCAGAAGGGCGGGAACGUAGCCAGAUUAAAAGCGCGGCGGAGACAGCAGAGGCGAUGAUCAAGGCGAUGGAUAGAAGGGAAAGAAGGAUUACCCCCCUUUUGCGGGAAGGGUGAGGCGUGGCGUAUUCUGGUUGGUUGAUAGGUUGGGAGGAUCCGCCGGGUUCGGAGGGUCCG